Caenorhabditis brenneri is the source of this 73-nucleotide non-coding RNA. NCBI's taxonomy places the organism in Eukaryota, Metazoa, Nematoda, Chromadorea, Rhabditida, Rhabditidae. The record is from Rfam.
GGAGAGAUGGCCGAGCGUAAGCCUUAAGGCACCAGUCCCUUCGGGGGCGUGGGUUCGAAUCCCACUCUCUUCA